This 479-nucleotide ribosomal RNA is filed under the name uncultured Exiguobacterium sp. Its description in RNAcentral is "bacterial SSU rRNA". It matches the Rfam family "Bacterial small subunit ribosomal RNA", at positions 960 to 1439 of the family's 1533-position model. Lineage: Bacteria; Bacillati; Bacillota; Bacilli; Caryophanales. The record is from RNAcentral.
CGCGAAGAACCUUACCAACUCUUGACAUCCCCCUGACCGGUACAGAGAUGUACCUUCCCCUUCGGGGGCAGGGGUGACAGGUGGUGCAUGGUUGUCGUCAGCUCGUGUCGUGAGAUGUUGGGUUAAGUCCCGCAACGAGCGCAACCCUUGUCCUUAGUUGCCAGCAUUUGGUUGGGCACUCUAAGGAGACUGCCGGUGACAAACCGGAGGAAGGUGGGGAUGACGUCAAAUCAUCAUGCCCCUUAUGAGUUGGGCUACACACGUGCUACAAUGGACGGUACAAAGGGCAGCGAAGCCGCGAGGUGGAGCCAAUCCCAGAAAGCCGUUCUCAGUUCGGAUUGCAGGCUGCAACUCGCCUGCAUGAAGUCGGAAUCGCUAGUAAUCGCAGGUCAGCAUACUGCGGUGAAUACGUUCCCGGGUCUUGUACACACCGCCCGUCACACCACGAGAGUUUGCAACACCCGAAGUCGGUGAGUAAC